GACGAACGCUGGCGGCGUGCCUAAUACAUGCAAGUUGAACGCUGAAGGUUGGUACUUGUACCGGCUGGAUGAGCGGCGAACGGGUGAGUAAUGCGUGGGGAAUCUGCCCUUGAGCGGGGGAUAAGCUUGGGAAACUAAUUCUAAUACUGGAUAAAAAAUUUAAACACAAGGUUUUAGGUUGAAAGAGGCAAUUUGAUUAUGGAUAGGCGCACGCGCGUUGUGUUAGUUGGUUGGGGAGGUAAAGACUCACCAAGGGGAGGAUACAUAGCCUACCUGAGAGGGUGAUCGGCGACAUUAGGACGUGGACACGGCCCAAACUCCUACGGGAGGCAGCAGUAGGGAAUCUUCGGCAAUGGACGAAAGUCUGACCGAGCAACGCCGCGUGAGUGAAGAAGGUUUUCGGAUCGUAAAACUCUGUUGGUAGAGAAGAACGUUGGUGAGAGUGGAAAGCGCAUAAAGUGACGGUAACGAACCAGAAAGGGACGGCUAACUACGU
RNAcentral lists this ribosomal RNA (496 nucleotides) under uncultured bacterium. RNAcentral's name for it is "partial 16S ribosomal RNA". It matches the Rfam family "Bacterial small subunit ribosomal RNA", at positions 28 to 506 of the family's 1533-position model. The record is from RNAcentral.